Long non-coding RNA from Mirounga angustirostris (Northern elephant seal), 480 nucleotides. RefSeq lists it as uncharacterized. The transcript is spliced from 3 exons. The record is from RefSeq and is a predicted model, not a curated record. Lineage: Eukaryota; Metazoa; Chordata; Mammalia; Carnivora; Phocidae.
GUCGAGGCGGCGCCGCAGCCUGCCGGGCGGACGGGCGAGGGCGAGCGCCCGGCUCCGCGCUGCCCCUGCUCCCCGCGCGCUGCCCCUGCUCCCCGCGCGCCGCGCCCGCUCCUGCGCACCCGACGGCCCGCGGCGGGGAGGAGUCCACCGAGUUUGCCCCGGAGCGCGGGGAAGUUUCCCGCGAAGCUCCGCUCCCGGAAAAGGGGGACCAGCCGGCGGCCGCUGGCGAGGUUACUUCAUGGAAGGAGUGCUUAAUAGAACAAGACAGGACCAAAGCUCUACGGAAAAACAAAUCAUGUGGUCUUCAGAAAUGAGGAGAAAGGCAGCCAUCUGAAAUGGUCAUGAACCCCAAACAAGUCUUCCUCUCGGUGCUCAUUUUUGGAGUAGCAGGGCUUCUCCUCUUCAUGUAUUUACAAGUCUGGAUUGAAGAACAGCAUACAGGGAGAGUGGAGAAGAAAAGAGAACAAAAAACAACUUCAG